This 919-nucleotide unclassified non-coding RNA is filed under the name Mesorhizobium metallidurans. RNAcentral describes it as "partial contains 16S-23S ribosomal RNA intergenic spacer and 23S ribosomal RNA". The stretch from base 301 to 374 matches the Rfam family "tRNA". Lineage: Bacteria; Pseudomonadati; Pseudomonadota; Alphaproteobacteria; Hyphomicrobiales; Phyllobacteriaceae. The record is from RNAcentral.
UAAGGAAGAACCCUAAUGGAAACGCUCGCUCCCUCAUCUUCGGAUGAAAUGACGAGCCUCUGCCUUUCGGUUCUCUUGGAACAAGACGGAAGAGAGUCACUCUUACCGUCGUGCAUACCUUAAGCGGGUCUGCCGCCUUCGUUUCUCUUUCUUCGCGAAUGACUUUGACUUGCGCUCGCGCGCCGCAUCGCACCCCAUGGGUGCUGGCGCUCCGCGAGGGCGCGGCACAAGCCGCGACGGCCAGUUGGCCUUGCGAGACUUGCGUCUCGUUGGCGGUAGCCGAUCUACGGCGCGGUCUUAGGGCUUGUAGCUCAGUUGGUUAGAGCGCGCGCUUGAUAAGCGUGAGGUCGGAGGUUCAAGUCCUCCCAGGCCCACCAUUUCCUCGACAAAAGGUAUCAGGGGCCGUAGCUCAGCUGGGAGAGCGCCUGCUUUGCAAGCAGGAUGUCGUCGGUUCGAUCCCGUCCGGCUCCACCCAUCUUUUCUUCCCUGGGAAGAAAGGGUGUCGAGUAGAGAUGAAAAACCGGUUGGCUGGUCAUUCGUAUAAAGGUUUGCGGCGAGCUUAAAGCUCUCCGCCUGUUCUGUAUGACAUCGUAAAGAGAAGAUUUGUUCGAACUUCAUGAUCCGAAAGGCUCAUGAUUUGUCGCGGGAGACGCUCAAUCUCCCGCAUAUGAUGGGUUUGCCUAACCGCACCCUCGAACCGAUCUCGAGAAGCUGGUCUUUUUGUGCCAAUUCCAUUGAAGCCAGAUCCCGCACAGGAUCUGGUUCGAGCGACGAUCUCUUCGAGAUCGCGCGGUGGGCAUUGGCAAUGAGAACGAUCAAGUGUCUUAAGGGCAAUUGGUGGAUGCCUUGGCAUGCACAGGCGAUGAAGGACGUGAAACGCUGCGAUAAGCUACGGGAGGUGCGAAUACCCUUUGAUCGU